AACUCAAAGGAAUUGACGGGGGCCCGCACAAGCGGCGGAGCAUGCGGAUUAAUUCGAUGCAACGCGAAGAACCUUACCUGGGUUUGACAUAUACGGGAAGCCUGCAGAGAUGUGGGUCUCUUUGAUACUCGUAUACAGGUGGUGCAUGGCUGUCGUCAGCUCGUGUCGUGAGAUGUUGGGUUAAGUCCCGCAACGAGCGCAACCCUCGUCCCAUGUUGCCAGCGGGUUAUGCCGGGGACUCAUGGGAGACUGCCGGGGUCAACUCGGAGGAAGA
RNAcentral lists this ribosomal RNA (274 nucleotides) under uncultured Nocardioides sp. RNAcentral describes it as "partial 16S ribosomal RNA". It matches the Rfam family "Bacterial small subunit ribosomal RNA", at positions 898 to 1173 of the family's 1533-position model. Lineage: Bacteria; Bacillati; Actinomycetota; Actinomycetes; Propionibacteriales; Nocardioidaceae. The record is from RNAcentral.